GACGAACGCUGGCGGCGUGGAUAAGGCAUGCAAGUCGAACGGAACUUAUUUUGUUUAAGAUGCGAUUACAUCAAGUCAAGAAUGUUGUAAGUUUAGUGGCAGACGAGGUAGGAAUACAUACGUACAUACCCCCGAGACGGGCACAACCAGCCGAAAGGUUGGCUAAUUCCCGAUAUUGUCCCGAGAGUAAUCGAGGGACGAAACCCGCAAGGGGCUCGCGGAUUGGCGUAUGGGCAUCAGCUUGUUGGUAGGGUAACGGCCUACCAAGGCUAUGACGGCUAGGGGACGUGAGAGCGUCGACCCCCACCGACGGAACUGAGACACGGUCCGUACACCUACGGGUGGCAGCAGUCGAGAA
This 358-nucleotide ribosomal RNA is filed under the name uncultured bacterium. RNAcentral describes it as "bacterial SSU rRNA". It matches the Rfam family "Bacterial small subunit ribosomal RNA", at positions 28 to 361 of the family's 1533-position model. The record is from RNAcentral.